GCGCCCGUAGCUCAGUCAGGAUAGAGCAGCGGUUUCCUAAACCGCAGGCCGGAGGUUCGAGUCCUCCCGGGCGCACCA
This 78-nucleotide transfer RNA is filed under the name Candidatus Bipolaricaulota bacterium. Its description in RNAcentral is "tRNA-Arg". It matches the Rfam family "tRNA". Rfam says of the family: Transfer RNA (tRNA) molecules are approximately 80 nucleotides in length. The record is from RNAcentral. Lineage: Bacteria; Candidatus Bipolaricaulota.